RNAcentral lists this ribosomal RNA (460 nucleotides) under uncultured bacterium. RNAcentral's name for it is "partial 16S ribosomal RNA". It matches the Rfam family "Bacterial small subunit ribosomal RNA", at positions 338 to 795 of the family's 1533-position model. The record is from RNAcentral.
CCUACGGGAGGCAGCAGUGAGGAAUAUUGGUCAAUGGACGAGAGUCUGAACCAGCCAAGUAGCGUGAAGGAUGACUGCCCUAUGGGUUGUAAACUUCUUUUAUAUGGGAAUAAAAUGUUCCACGUGUGGGCUUUUGUAUGGACCAUAUGAAUAAGGAUCGGCUAACUCCGUGCCAGCAGCCGCGGUAAUACGGAGGAUCCGGGCGUUAUCCGGAUUUAUUGGGUUUAAAGGGAGCGUAGGUGGAUUGUUCAGGCAGUUGUGAAAGUUUGCGGCUCAACCGUAAAAUUGCAGUUGAAACUGGCAGUCUUGAGUAGAGUAGAGGUGGGCGGAAUUCGUGGUGUAGCGGUGAAAUGCUUAGAUAUCACGAAGAACUCCGAUUGCGAAGGCAGCUCACUGGACUGCAACUGACACUGAGGCUCGAAAGUGUGGGUAUCAAACAGGAUUAGAUACCCUGGUAGUC